RNAcentral lists this ribosomal RNA (492 nucleotides) under uncultured bacterium. RNAcentral's name for it is "partial 16S ribosomal RNA". It matches the Rfam family "Bacterial small subunit ribosomal RNA", at positions 29 to 507 of the family's 1533-position model. The record is from RNAcentral.
AGUGAACGCUGGCGGUAGGCCUAACACAUGCAAGUCGAACGGCAGCACAGUAAGAGCUUGCUCUUACGGGUGGCGAGUGGCGGGCGGGUGAGGAAUACAUCGGAAUCUCCGUUUUCGUGGGGGGUAACGUAGGGAAACUUACGCUAAUACCGCAUACGACCUACGGGUGAAAGCAGGGGAUCUUGGGACCUUGCGCGAUUGAAUGAGCGGAUGUCGGAUUAGCUAGUUGGCGGGGUAAAGGCCCACCAAGGCGACGAUCCGUAGCUGGUCUGAGAGGAUGAUCAGCCACACUGGAACUGAGACACGGUCCAGACUCCUACGGGAGGCAGCAGUGGGGAAUAUUGGACAAUGGGCGCAAGCCUGAUCCCGCCAUACCGCGUGGGUGAAGAAGGCCUUCGGGUUGUAAAGCCCUUUUGUUGGGAAAGAAAAGCAGCAGGUUAAUACCCCGCUGUUCUGACGGUACCCAAAGAAUAAGCACCGGCUAACUUCGUG